UACGUAGGGUGCGAGCGUUAAUCGGAAUUACUGGGCGUAAAGCGUGCGCAGGCGGUUUUGUAAGUCAGAUGUGAAAGCCCCGGGCUUAACCCGGGAAUGGCAGUGGAAACUGGCGGGCUUGAGUGUGGCAGAGGGGGGUGGAAUUCCGCGUGUAGCAGUGAAAUGCGUAGAUAUGCGGAGGAACACCGAUGGCGAAGGCAAUCCCCUGGACCUGUACUGACGCUCAUGCACGAAAGGCGUGGGGAGCAAACAGG
This 254-nucleotide ribosomal RNA is filed under the name uncultured bacterium. RNAcentral describes it as "partial 16S ribosomal RNA". It matches the Rfam family "Bacterial small subunit ribosomal RNA", at positions 524 to 776 of the family's 1533-position model. The record is from RNAcentral.